GGAUUAAGAGCUUGCUCUUAUGAAGUUAGCGGCGGACGGGUGAGUAACACGUGGGUAACCUGCCCAUAAGACUGGGAUAACUCCGGGAAACCGGGGCUAAUACCGGAUAACAUUUUGAACCGCAUGGUUCGAAAUUGAAAGGCGGCUUCGGCUGUCACUUAUGGAUGGACCCGCGUCGCAUUAGCUAGUUGGUGAGGUAACGGCUCACCAAGGCAACGAUGCGUAGCCGACCUGAGAGGGUGAUCGGCCACACUGGGACUGAGACACGGCCCAGACUCCUACGGGAGG
This 288-nucleotide ribosomal RNA is filed under the name Bacillus mycoides. RNAcentral describes it as "partial 16S ribosomal RNA". It matches the Rfam family "Bacterial small subunit ribosomal RNA", at positions 69 to 348 of the family's 1533-position model. The record is from RNAcentral. Lineage: Bacteria; Bacillati; Bacillota; Bacilli; Caryophanales; Bacillaceae.